This 748-nucleotide ribosomal RNA is filed under the name Lentilactobacillus buchneri. RNAcentral describes it as "bacterial SSU rRNA". It matches the Rfam family "Bacterial small subunit ribosomal RNA", at positions 49 to 753 of the family's 1533-position model. The record is from RNAcentral. Lineage: Bacteria; Bacillati; Bacillota; Bacilli; Lactobacillales; Lactobacillaceae.
UAAUACAUGCAAGUCGAACGCGUCUCCGUUAAUGAUUUUAGGUGCUUGCACUUGAAAGAUUUAACAUUGAGACGAGUGGCGAACUGGUGAGUAACACGUGGGUAACCUGCCCUUGAAGUAGGGGAUAACACUUGGAAACAGGUGCUAAUACCGUAUAACAACCAAAACCACCUGGUUUUGGUUUAAAAGACGGCUUCGGCUGUCACUUUAGGAUGGACCCGCGGCGUAUUAGCUUGUUGGUAAGGUAACGGCCUACCAAGGCGAUGAUACGUAGCCGACCUGAGAGGGUAAUCGGCCACAUUGGGACUGAGACACGGCCCAAACUCCUACGGGAGGCAGCAGUAGGGAAUCUUCCACAAUGGACGAAAGUCUGAUGGAGCAACGCCGCGUGAGUGAUGAAGGGUUUCGGCUCGUAAAACUCUGUUGUUGGAGAAGAACAGGUGUCAGAGUAACUGUUGACAUCUUGACGGUAUCCAACCAGAAAGCCACGGCUAACUACGUGCCAGCAGCCGCGGUAAUACGUAGGUGGCAAGCGUUGUCCGGAUUUAUUGGGCGUAAAGCGAGCGCAGGCGGUUUUUUAGGUCUGAUGUGAAAGCCUUCGGCUUAACCGGAGAAGUGCAUCGGAAACCGGGAGACUUGAGUGCAGAAGAGGACAGUGGAACUCCAUGUGUAGCGGUGAAAUGCGUAGAUAUAUGGAAGAACACCAGUGGCGAAGGCGGCUGUCUGGUCUGUAACUGACGCUGAGGCU